UGCCUACGGGUGGCUGCAGUAAGGAAUAUUGGUCAAUGGAGGCAACUCUGAACCAGCCAUGCCGCGUGCAGGAAGACGGCCCUAUGGGUUGUAAACUGCUUUUGUACCAGAGAAAACCCUCUUACGUGUAGGAGGUUGAUAGUAUGGUAAGAAUAAGCAUCGGCUAACUUCGUGCCAGCAGCCGCGGUAAGACGAAGGAUGCAAGCGUUAUCCGGAUUCAUUGGGUUUAAAGGGUGCGUAGGCGGACCUGUAAGUCAGUGGUGAAAUCUCUCAGCUUAACUGAGAAACUGCCAUUGAUACUGCAGGUCUAGAGUAUAGAUGACGUUGGCGGAAUAUGACAUGUAGUGGUGAAAUACUUAGAUAUGUCAUAGAACACCGAUUGCGAAGGCAGCUAACGAAACUAUAACUGACGCUGAGGCACGAAAGUGCGGGGAUCAAACAGGAUUAGAUACCCCGGUAGUCA
RNAcentral lists this ribosomal RNA (463 nucleotides) under uncultured Sphingobacteriales bacterium. Its description in RNAcentral is "bacterial SSU rRNA". It matches the Rfam family "Bacterial small subunit ribosomal RNA", at positions 335 to 796 of the family's 1533-position model. Lineage: Bacteria; Pseudomonadati; Bacteroidota; Sphingobacteriia; Sphingobacteriales. The record is from RNAcentral.